AGAUCCCCAACAGCUCAGA
Molecule: small nuclear RNA, 19 nt
Filed under: Arabidopsis thaliana (thale cress)
Lineage: Eukaryota; Viridiplantae; Streptophyta; Magnoliopsida; Brassicales; Brassicaceae
Description: snRNA_11714
Source: RNAcentral